AUUGAACGCUGGCGGCAUGCCUUACACAUGCAAGUCGAACGGCAGCACGGGAGCAAUCCUGGUGGCGAGUGGCGAACGGGUGAGUAAAGUAUCGGAACGUGCCCAGUCGUGGGGGAUAACGUAGCGAAAGUUACGCUAAUACCGCAUACGAUCUAUGGAUGAAAGCGGGGGAUCGCAAGACCUCGCGCGAUUGGAGCGGCCGAUAUCAGAUUAGGUAGUUGGUGGGGUAAAGGCGCACCAAGCCGACGAUCUGUAGCUGGUCUGAGAGGACGACCAGCCACACUGGGACUGAGACACGGCCCAGACUCCGACGGGAGGCAGCAGUGGGGAAUUUUGAACAAUGGGCGCAAGCCUGAUCCAGCCAUGCCGCGUGCAGGAUGAAGGCCUUCGGGUUGUAAACUGCUUUUGUACGGAACGAAAAGGUUUGACUUAAUACGUUGGACUCAUGACGGUACCGUAAGAAUAAGCACCGGCUAACUACGUGCCAGCCGCCGCCGUAA
This 500-nucleotide ribosomal RNA is filed under the name uncultured bacterium. Its description in RNAcentral is "partial 16S ribosomal RNA". It matches the Rfam family "Bacterial small subunit ribosomal RNA", at positions 30 to 523 of the family's 1533-position model. The record is from RNAcentral.